AGUGAACGCUGGCGGUAGGCCUAACACAUGCAAGUCGAACGGCAGCACAGUAAGAGCUUGCUCUUACGGGUGGCGAGUGGCGGACGGGUGAGGAAUACAUCGGAAUCUACUUUUUCGUGGGGGAUAACGUAGGGAAACUUACGCUAAUACCGCAUACGACCUACGGGUUAAAGCAGUGGAUCUUCGGACCUUUCGCGAUUGAAUGAGCCGAUGUCGGAUUAGCUAGUUGGCGGGGUAAAGGCCCACCAAGGCGACGAUCCGUAGCUGGUCUGAGAGGAUGAUCAGCCACACUGGAACUGAGACACGGUCCAGACUCCUACGGGAGGCAGCAGUGGGGAAUAUUGGACAAUGGGCGCAAGCCUGAUCCAGCCAUACCGCGUGGGUGAAGAAGGCCUUCGGGUUGUAAAGCCCUUUUGUUGGGAAAGAAAAGCAGCAGGUUAAUACCCCGCUGUUCUGACGGUACCCAAAGAAUAAGCACCGGCUAACUUCGUG
RNAcentral lists this ribosomal RNA (492 nucleotides) under uncultured bacterium. Its description in RNAcentral is "partial 16S ribosomal RNA". It matches the Rfam family "Bacterial small subunit ribosomal RNA", at positions 29 to 507 of the family's 1533-position model. The record is from RNAcentral.